Molecule: transfer RNA, 78 nt
Filed under: Calothrix sp. NIES-2098
Lineage: Bacteria; Bacillati; Cyanobacteriota; Cyanophyceae; Nostocales; Calotrichaceae
Description: tRNA-Asp
Rfam family: tRNA
About the family: Transfer RNA (tRNA) molecules are approximately 80 nucleotides in length.
Source: RNAcentral
UGGGGGUGUAGCUUAGUCCGGUUAAAAGCAGUCGCCUGUCGAGCGAAAGAACGUGGGUUCAAAUCCCAUCAUCCCCGU